CAACCCGAAUAACGCUCAACAAGGGCUAAGAAGCAUCUAUCGCCACUUUCAAAAAAAUCGACACUCACGGACUUGAAGGGGCGUUCCGGGGGUGGAUCGGAUUAGAUUGUCUCUUGGCCCAACGAAGGCCAAAGGAUAGGAGCACGGGCACAAUUGAAAGUGCGGGUCAAACCCCGAUGCGGGAGGUGCAAAAGGUGGAGCACUUCCUUACGAGCCAUGGUGGGAACGACUAUCCUCUGGCAAUCAACCAGGACCAACUCAUCCUCAACGGUUGGAUUCUCCUGGCCGGCCUUCUUGAGGAGAUCAAGUGUGGGAUCAGCAUCCAACUCGCUCAUCUGAAUGGAGCUGGCGAUCACGCUUCGCACAUGAAAAUCUGGUCCAGUGUCCUCCACAUUCCAACUUCCCUCAACUUCUCCCACGGGAUCUUCGACGGGUGAUCGGCUCAAUACGUCCGCGAUAGGGACUGCGAGGUGGGAGUUACACAAACUCUAGCAGCCAAAAAAGGAAAAAGAGCGUUAGUAGGGAAGAACCAUGACUUUUUUGCUUCAUUCAAAACUUUUGAAAUUAUGUGAAGACAGAUACAAACAAAAGUGAUUAAACUUCUUAUGAAUGAUUUGAGUUUAUGCGAGAUUG
This is a long non-coding RNA of Tigriopus californicus, 633 nucleotides long. RefSeq lists it as uncharacterized. The transcript has 3 exons. NCBI's taxonomy places the organism in Eukaryota, Metazoa, Arthropoda, Copepoda, Harpacticoida, Harpacticidae. The record is from RefSeq and is a predicted model, not a curated record.